Molecule: RNase P RNA, 323 nt
Filed under: Musca domestica (house fly)
Lineage: Eukaryota; Metazoa; Arthropoda; Insecta; Diptera; Muscidae
Description: Nuclear RNase P
Rfam family: Nuclear RNase P
About the family: Ribonuclease P (RNase P) is a ubiquitous endoribonuclease, found in archaea, bacteria and eukarya as well as chloroplasts and mitochondria. Its best characterised activity is the generation of mature 5'-ends of tRNAs by cleaving the 5'-leader elements of precursor-tRNAs.
Source: Rfam by way of RNAcentral
UCAGUUGCAAUCUAGCAUCUGGGGCCAACAUACGAGUAUUCGAUUACUCUUCAAACAUAUGCGCCUCGGGAAGGUCUGAGAUUUGGUCAAAAGUUUGAGGAGAAAUCUUUACAAACUUUUAUUUCCUAGCCGGAAACUUGUACGAUUGAAAAGCAAAAGGACAAGAAAUCCUGUAAAUCUAAUGGAAAUUAAUUUAUUUUCUAUUGGAUAUACAUUGAAAUCUUUUGUGGCCAGCUAUUUCAGUGCAAUGUGCUUGCUGUCCAUUUUCAUAAAAAAUAGAGAAAAAAUGGGACAGAACUCAAUUCAGACUAAUCUGUGACUGA